UGACGGCUAUUUUGGAGACCCAGCGGCUUCCCGCGCCUGCCAGCCGUGCCGGUGCAACGGCAACGUGGAGCCCAACGCCGUGGGGAACUGCGACCGCCGGACGGGCGAGUGCCUCAAGUGCAUCUACAACACCGCUGGCUUCUACUGCGACCGCUGCAAAGACGGCUUCUUUGGGAACCCCCUGGCCCCCGAUCCCGCUGACAAGUGCAGAGGUGAGAGCCAGGCACUGUUUGAGCUGGGGGUGAGUAAGAAAAUCCAUGCCAGAGUGCUGAGUGCUUGUUGGGAAAUGGGAUGCUGCAAAAGUUGAAGCUGGAAAGCGGGAGUAGAGAGCAGGAACUGGAGCAGAGGGGGUAAACGGUGGGAGGAAAGCAGGGGGAGAGGGUGGGUGGAAGGAUGUGCUAAGACUUGAGGUGGGGACAGGCUCCUUUUGAACCUGUGCCGCUCUGACCUGCAGCUUGCGCCUGCGACUCAGCUGGUGCUGAGCCCUUGAAGUGUGGGAGAGAUGGGAGCUGCAUCUGCAAGCCCGGCUUUGAGGGUCCCAACUGUGAAGAAAGUGAGUGCCCGGCUUGCUACAGCCAGGUGAAAGCCCAGGUGGACCUGUACCUGCGGCAGCUGGCAGAGCUGGAGCUGCUGUUCUCUGAGGUGCAAGCUGGUGGCGGGGCUGAGAGCCAGGAGCUGGAGGGGAGGAUGCAGCUGGCUGAGGAGAUGCUGAGGAGCAUCCUCAGGGAAGCCCUGAGCCUCCAAGCCUCUGACAGGUCUCUGGAAAGCCGCGUGGGCCGGAUGAAGGGGCAAGGGUCCCGUUUCCAGAGCCGCUUGGAUGAGAUCAAGGCAACAAUGGAGAGGCUGAGGUCUCUUGGGAGCCAGUAUGAGACACAGGUGCAGGACACCCGGCAGCUGCUGGAAAGAGCCAGGCUGGACCUGGACCGCAGCACAGCUGCUCUGCGCCGAGUGGUAAGAGCAUCCAUGUGCAAUGUGCUGCUUGUCUAGCGCAGGGCUGAAAAAACUCCAUGGAGAAAGCAAGAAUUUAACAUAUUCCAGUUAUUGCAUUUUGUUUGUGAGAGCGGAAAAUAUUCUGGUGGCCCGGUCUGCAGGGCUGGGAGCUGGAGAGGAGCUGACGAGGGUGUUCGUGGGGCUGUG
This 1137-nucleotide long non-coding RNA is filed under the name Falco tinnunculus (common kestrel). RNAcentral describes it as "lncRNA (ENSFTIG00000015881.1)". Lineage: Eukaryota; Metazoa; Chordata; Aves; Falconiformes; Falconidae. The record is from RNAcentral.